Molecule: ribosomal RNA, 662 nt
Filed under: uncultured cyanobacterium
Lineage: Bacteria; Bacillati; Cyanobacteriota
Description: bacterial SSU rRNA
Rfam family: Bacterial small subunit ribosomal RNA
Source: RNAcentral
CGGACGGGUGAGUAACGCGUGAGAAUCUGCCCUUAGGACGGGGACAACAGCUGGAAACGGCUGCUAAUACCGGAUGAGCCGAGAGGUAAAAGCAAAAGUGCCUGAAGAUGAGCUCGCGUCUGGUUAGCUAGUUGGUGGGGUAAGAGCCUACCAAGGCGACGAUCAGUAGCUGGUCUGAGAGGAUGAUCAGCCACACUGGGACUGAGACACGGCCCAGACUCCUACGGGAGGCAGCAGUGGGGAAUUUUCCGCAAUGGGCGCAAGCCUGACGGAGCAAGACCGCGUGCGGGAGGACGGCCUAUUGGUUGUAAACCGCUUUUGAUAGGGAAGAAGUUCUGACGGUACCUAUCGAAUCAGCAUCGGCUAACUCCGUGCCAGCAGCCGCGGUAAUACGGAGGAUGCAAGCGUUAUCCGGAAUUAUUGGGCGUAAAGCGUCCGUAGGUGGUUGUUCAAGUCUGCUGUUAAAGCGUGCGGCUUAACCGCAUACCAGCAGUGGAAACUGGGCGACUAGAGUGCGGUAGGGGUCAGGGGAAUUCCCAGUGUAGCGGUGAAAUGCGUAGAUAUUGGGAAGAACACCGGUGGCGAAAGCGCCUGACUGGACCUGCACUGACACUGAGGGACGAAAGCUAGGGGAGCGAAAGGGAUUAGAUACCCCUGUAGUC